UUGGGACACUCUGGAGUUGCUCCCACACGUGCAGCCCUGGGGGACCAGGAGGAUUUGGGUCGGGUCCAUCCGCUCCGUGCUCCCCCAGGUGCUGCAGGGCUGAUCCCUGCUAAUCCCACACUGGCCCAAUGCCCGGGCUCAGCACCUUCCCACCACCCCAUCCCCUCCAGUUGCCUUCAUAAGGGGCAGAACAGAGCCUGGGCUCAUCCUGGGGCUGCGGUCACCGCCUGAGCUUCGUGGGGAUGAUGAAGCUCUACGCAGUGCUGCUGCUGGCUGGGUUGGCCUGCUGCCUGGCUGUGGGCUUGCCCAUCAAUGAGACGCCGACCGUGGGGCAAGGUAAGUGGGGGUCCUGUGUGGGGAUCAGUGGGGCUGGGGGCUGAGAUUUCACUAGGAACUCUCUGAGCAUCCCAAUCGUACAGAGAACUCUCCUGGGGUUCCUCCUGUGCUCUGUAGGUGGGUGAGCGAUGCUCCUUCAUCCCUCCCUGCCCUCCCAAGUGUGGGAUCUGAGCUCCCUGCAGCACGAAGCAGCUCUGGGGAUGGGGUGGGGGGUGGUCCGUGCAGGCACAGACCCUCAUUUCUCCCCACAGAUGUGAAGGUGAGCAGCAGAGCUGCCGAAGGAGCGCUGGUGGAUUUGGCAGAUGUGGUGGAAAGCCUCCUGCGCUCCCUGGGAGACACCUUGGCCGGGGCGGUCAGACUGCUGAUAGGGGGAAAAGCGAAAUAGCGAGCAGCCGGCGUGGUGAGCGCUGCCCUCCCCUGCAGGGGACGUGGUGACAUGGGGACGCGGUGCUCUGCCCAUGGGUUCUGCUUCAUUCCAAGGUGCCACCAAUGCCACCUGCUCACCCUAUGGCUCUUCCCGUGUGAACAAGGC
This 868-nucleotide long non-coding RNA is filed under the name Chrysolophus pictus (golden pheasant). RNAcentral's name for it is "lncRNA (ENSCPIG00010014794.1)". Lineage: Eukaryota; Metazoa; Chordata; Aves; Galliformes; Phasianidae. The record is from RNAcentral.